Long non-coding RNA from Podarcis raffonei (Aeolian wall lizard), 1311 nucleotides. RefSeq lists it as uncharacterized. The transcript has 5 exons. NCBI's taxonomy places the organism in Eukaryota, Metazoa, Chordata, Lepidosauria, Squamata, Lacertidae. The record is from RefSeq and is a predicted model, not a curated record.
UCUCCCCAUUCACACAAAUAAAAAGCAGCAAAACCCCUGAGAUGCAGCCACCUGAUGACUGCCAUUUUGUUUUCCCCACAGCACACCUGACUGACACACCAAGGAUGCUGUGUGCCUGUGCCAGGCCUGGUCCUUAGUGCUUAAAAAACAUAUUUCAAGUGGUAAAAAAUAAAGCUUCACAUAAUUAUAUCUGAAAUGCUUACAACAGGCUCAUGAGGACCAAUUUUAUUACCCCUCCAUUGCAGGUAGAAGGCUGAGGCUGAAAGAAUAAUGGGGUGUUUCGGGCCAUCAAGCACAUUUGCUGGUGAGAUUUAAAUGCAUCAUUUUCCAGCUUACACUUUCCAGCUUGCACUAAACCUCGCCACCUCAUAAAGUCAGGGUCCAUUUCAUUCUGUAUGUAUGGGUAAAAUUUGGUUCCUCAGUGAUUCGGGCAAGAAAACACUUGCAAGUCCUAAUAACCUCAAACCCAUUUGUGAGGUGUGAGGUUUCGAAAGAAGUGAAUGGCUCAUCCUACAGUGCUGGCCCUACCAUUAGGCAGCGUGAGGACAUACAAGUGUCAAAGUUCUGCACCAGGUGACCUGUUUAUUCAUCCUGAUUUGCUUGCACAAAAGUUUAUGAGAAGGGUCUUCACUUCUGCUUUGUGCCAGUAGAGGAUUUUUCAAAAGACAAACACAGCUCCUGGGAAGCCUCUGCAGAUUCCUCCCAAAUGGGGCCAUGACUGACUCCAGUUACGAAGGCUGCAGCUGCUGCUGAAGAUGCCAGAAACCAUCUUGCUACGGAUCCUGAACGGUUUGGCCCCUGCCCUCUGCUUGGCUCCUUCCCACCCAGCCUUGGAGGGUGGCACCCUGACUGACUCCAGCUGCAGAGGUUGCUUCUGCGGCUCAAGCCCCAGAGAGACCAGCCAAGAUGAAUUAAUGCUAACAGCUCUAAAUCUGCAGAUAAUCUCUAGGGUUAUUUUACCAUACACAGUUCCUAGAAAGGUCCUUGUCAACCACUUGCUGCUCAGCUCCAGGUCUGGAAAUCAUCACAAUUCGGAGCACGUUCUUCGAAACAUUAAUCUUUGCUUGUUUUUAAUAAACCUAGUCACAAAAUUGGUUUUGAUUCUUAUGCAUUGCUAGAAAUUUCAGUGAAUGAACCCGGAAAAACUGACUUUGUGCAAAGGUAUUUGAUUCCAUAACUCCUUCAUAGCAACUCCCCUGUGAGGAAAAGGUAGGAGGAGUUUUUAGUUUAGAGGAAAGGCAAGUAAGAUGUGACAUGAUAGAAAUUUAUAAAAUUAUGCAUUGUGUGGAGAAAGUAGAUCGAGAAAAGCCC